CACGUAGGGGGCGAGCGUUGUCCGGAUUUAUUGGGCGUAAAGAGCUCGUAGGCGGCUUUGUCAGUCGGGUGUGAAACCUCCAGGCUCAACCUGGAGCCGCCACCCGAUACUGCAAUAGCUAGAGUCCGGUAGGGGAGCAUGGAACUCCUGGUGUAGCGGUGAAAUGCGCAGAUAUCAGGAGGAACACCAGUGGCGAAGGCGGUGCUCUGGGCCGGAACUGACGCUGAGGAGCGAAAGCGUGGGGAGCAAACAGG
RNAcentral lists this ribosomal RNA (254 nucleotides) under uncultured bacterium. Its description in RNAcentral is "partial 16S ribosomal RNA". It matches the Rfam family "Bacterial small subunit ribosomal RNA", at positions 524 to 776 of the family's 1533-position model. The record is from RNAcentral.